This 16-nucleotide ribosomal RNA is filed under the name Hammondia hammondi. RNAcentral's name for it is "partial 18S ribosomal RNA". RNAcentral also lists the same sequence under 2 other names. Lineage: Eukaryota; Apicomplexa; Conoidasida; Eucoccidiorida; Sarcocystidae. The record is from RNAcentral.
UGCGGAAGGAUCAUUC